Tursiops truncatus (common bottlenose dolphin) is the source of this 130-nucleotide non-coding RNA. NCBI's taxonomy places the organism in Eukaryota, Metazoa, Chordata, Mammalia, Artiodactyla, Delphinidae. The record is from Rfam.
AAACAGCACACGAAUAUUACAGGAACUUUUGUAGAGAAAACAGAACAUCACCAACAGACCAUAACACAAAACUGGAAAUUAAUCACAAAAAAGCCAGUCAAAACUUCCAAUAACUUAUGGAUGGAAGAAG